Microcebus murinus (gray mouse lemur) is the source of this 1685-nucleotide long non-coding RNA. NCBI's taxonomy places the organism in Eukaryota, Metazoa, Chordata, Mammalia, Primates, Cheirogaleidae. The record is from Ensembl.
GACCUGUGGUGGAAACGUCUGGGACUGGUCAGCAUGGGAGCCUGUACCAUGACUAGUGUGGAACUGGAACUAACUGUCCAGAGCAUCCAGCCAGGUAAGAACAACCGUCUCUAGUGUGAGGUGACAGGUGUUGGGCAGAGGGCAUCACCCAUCUGUUCUCACCUGUACCAUCAUUUAGGAAGGCGUUGAAUCCAAUGUCCUGGGUCUCCAGGCAAGGAACUGCCAUUGGUGUUAAAGUCUGUCCAUGGGUCCUGCUUAUUAACUUCAUGAUUGAGACCUUCCUAGAUAUUGACAUCUUUUUCCAGGAAUUAGUGGUGUUCCUCUGCUCACUGUCAGUGUCCCAUUACAGCAAGCUUGAAUUUAUUUGAAUGUUAUGGUUUCAAAAAAUGAGAUCUUGGCAUUUUGUCGUCAAAGUUUUUUUUUUUUUUUUUUUUUUUUUGAGACAGAGUCUCGCUUUGUUGCCUAGGCUAGAAUGAGUGCCGUGGCAUCAGCCUAGCUCACAGCAACCUCAAACUCCUGGGCUCAAGCAAUCCUUCUGCCUCAGCCUCCCAAGUGGCUGGGACUACAGGCAUGCGCCACCAUGCCCGGCUAAUUUUUUCUAUAUAUAUUAGUUGGCCAAUUAAUUUCUUUCUAUUUAUAGUAGAGACGGGGUCUUGCUCUUGCUCAGGCUGGUUUCGAACUCCUGACCUCAAGCAAUCCGCCCGCCUCGGCCUCCCAGAGAGCUAGGAUUACAGGCGUGAGCCACCGCGCCCGGCCUGUCGUCAAAGUUUUGAUGUUUUGAUCCUAUUUGUAAUCUUUUGCACUAACAGGCAAUAGCAGGAUGAACUCGAGAGGAUGGUCAAAAGUCAACUCCAGGAAUGGAGGGAAUGUGGGAUGCUGCUCAGAUGCCUUUUAACUUCUGGUUGAAAAAUGGAUCUGAAGGGCCAGCAAGCCUCCUCAGGGGUGUCUGCGGAAUCUCUCUGGAAACCCGACCUCAUCAACCGUGCUGUGAAGCAAGAGGCAACCCAGGACUUCAGGCUUUUCCUUCUCCUGAGCAACUUUCUGUUCUGGCCAACUCAGACACUGCGCAUGGAGGCUGCCAGGGCUCAGGCCUCAGUACUCAUCAGGACUCUUUACCAUUUGUCAAUGGUGCAGGCUGGAGGGGGCCUGCUAACCGGCAGUGCCAGAGACAUCUCUCUCUUUCUUGGCCUAUGUAAAGUCAUUUCUUUUGUAUGUGGUGAUUUAUUCAUUGAAUUGCGGGUGAAGACAUUUAACAAGGUGACAGAGGGAAUUAACAUGCUAAUUGGAAAUAUGCACUAUUCUAAGAUGUUCCUAUGGUGACUUUGAACCUUUAGUCUGAAUGGGUCCUUGUGGGUCCUGUAGUUUUCUAUUGGCACACGUUUCGUGGAGAAGGUGGCAUCACACAACCUGAAGUUCACUCACCUUAGGUUAAAUUCCACAUUUGUUUGGGAAGAGAUCCUAAAGUGUCUAUCUUUUACUCAGUACGUGGUCAUUCAUAACCUUUUGAUUUGUCACUGCCAUUGGUUAACUUACUUUUAAUCCUUGGAAGAUGAGAGUCAUUUUUAUUUUCCUCCCAAUGUAAAAUUGAGGCGUGAGAUCCAUGGAAAAGCUUUACCGCAACCCAUGUAAGGAUGGCUUAUUUCUUAGUCAAAAGCCCUUGUGAAACUUGAGGUAACUGUGAUGCU